Molecule: unclassified non-coding RNA, 240 nt
Filed under: soil metagenome
Description: partial contains 5.8S ribosomal RNA, internal transcribed spacer 2, and large subunit ribosomal RNA
Source: RNAcentral
AACCUAGCACACCUGCGGUGUGUACCUGCGGAAGGAUCAUUACUAUAACCCUCGGUCGUCGGUUGAACCGUUAAGGAUCUCCGGCGCCGAAGGACUCGCGGUCUAAUCCUGUGCCAGUAAGGCGCGCGUUCCGCGCCCGAACCACAGCUCACACAGCCAAAAACUUCGUGAGAAGCGGCUUCACGGCCGCCGGGAUUAGAUGUCUGCACCCUCUGUUUACGUGUACCUUUGUUGUUUCCU